GGACAGCCCCAGCUGGGCACCUGUGCCAGCCCUCCCCACCCUCCCAGGGCAGAAUUCCUGCCCAAUAUCCCACCUAAUUUACUUUCAUUAGUUUAAAUACAAGAACCAAGAAUUCCUUUUGGCCCCAGGGGGGGACUGAGCAGCCCAGUCCCUCUGGGCUCUGGGGCCCUGUCCCUCUCUCCUGUGUGUUGGUGGUUCAAUGUCCUGCAACAGCAACAGUGCCAAGCUACUGUGUGUAAAUAUUUGAGACAUAUAAAUGGUAGAAUUCACUGUUUCCUCAAGUCAAUACAGUUUACACUGAGUGGACCAUAUUUGCAAACUAUUAGCUUACACCAAGAAAGGGAGUGAACUGUGAUUUCAUCUGUAUUUGUUGAAUCAUCACUUUAGUAGCAUAUUUAGUAGAGUUGAUAGUGAUCUAUAGCUGUGUUUUGGGGUGUGGAUUAUGUUCUUUGCAGCUCAUGUUUUUGCACAAGGUAGUAAAUCCAGGAAGUCAUUUCUGCCUGGAUAUACACUACAUUUUUCAGAGCAGUCAGAGACUAAAACUGCCAUCUAGCAAACAGCAGGAAAGAGGAACACUUCUGUUUUUCAAGUUUAGCACUUUAUGUUUGCAACCCAUUUCUCUUAAGUUAUUUAAAAAUGUUUUUAAAAGCAAAAUUUAAUACAUGUGUUCCUAUUUACUGUACAUUAAAAUAAAUUGAUUCUCUGCUGGACAUCUCAUCUUUUCCUCUAGUAUGCUCAUAAUUUGUACUUUUGGGGAGUGAAGCAUUGUUUUCUUCUUCCGUGUAGUAUCUUGUUUGUGGCCUUAGUGUUCUUCCUAUUCCUUUAUCGGUGUGAGAUAUGUGCUGUAGCAGUUCAUGUGUGACUUGUGUGCUUUGGGGCUGCUCCAGGUGAUGCUCCUGAGUGAAUCCCACCCUGCUCCUGCUGCCCCUGGCUCCAGGUGAUGCUCCUCAGUGAAUCCCACCCUGCUCCUGCUGCCCCUGGCUCCAGGUGAUGCUCUGUGUGAAUCCCACCCUGUUCCUGCUGCCCCUGGCUCCACGUGAUGCCCUGAGUGAAUCCCACCCUGCUCCUGCUGCCCCUGGCUCCAGGUGAUGCUCUGUGUGAAUCCCACCCUGCUCCUGCUGCCCCUGGCUCCAGGUGAUGCUCUGUGUGAAUCCCACCCUGCUCCUGCUGCCCCUGGCUCCAGGUGAUGCUCUGUGUGAAUCCCACCCUGUUCCUGCUGCCUGUGCUGAGCUGCUGCAGGGUGAGGUUUUGUGGCACACACUGUUCUCUUCCUGCCCCCCUGCAGUAAUUGCAGGUGUGUCACAGCCCUCUCUGUCCCCUUCUCUCUGGAUUUCUCUCCCCACAGAGCUUGUCCUGUUGAUGUGUGCACACAUGUCUUUAGCUCAGCCCGUGGUGCAUUCAGCAGCUCCAGGCUGUGCAGGGUGUGAUCAGAGCUGGCUGAGGGGAGGGCAGCACUGUCCCUGGUGUCCCUGGUGUCCCUGGUGUCCCUGGUGUCCCUGGUGUCCCUGGUGUCCCUGGUGUCCCUGGUGUCCCUGGGGGCGAGGGCUGUGCUGGGAGCUGCUCCAGAGGGGUUUUCCUGUGCUCCCCAAUCCCAGCCAAACCCGGCCAGCCUCGAGCUCUGGAGCUGCCGAGGGGAGCUGGGUUAUGGGGGACCCCCAGUCCAGGGGAAUCCCUCAAGCUGCUCUGAGGGGUUCAGGUGUGAGAAAGCUGCUGCUUAAAACCCCCUGGUUUGCACAGGCACAGCCCUGCCCCAGGGAUGUGACCCCUGCAGCUCAGUGGCCCAAGCUGUUCCUGUGGCAUUGGGCUCAUCCCACGGUGUCUGGGGCCAGCGGGAGCUGGAUGGGCUCCUCAUAAUAAAUAAAUAUAUAUUUAUUCCUCCUCAUAAUAAAUACAUUUAUUAUUAGUUAUUUCAUGAGUGUUAAACUCUAUGAUUUGCAUGAAAUCCUGUGGUUCACAGCUUUGCCAAUAUGGUCCAUUACUACUGCCUACAACAACUUGUGUACUUAUAUGCCUUUGAGAACAUUUUUAAUUGUUAAAGUUGUUUUAAAAAUCAGUGUUAAGUUAAUUUAAUUUUUAAUGGGGAAAUGAAUUCUGGUGUCAAAAUGGUAUUUACUGUGAUGCCGAUGUUUUGUACCUGUCAUCCAGCUAAAGAACCUGUAAAUACUCCUGAGUCAAGAGAAAUAUGAAUGCCAAUUAUUUAUUGUUCUGUGGAGUUACAUGUCGCAGAUGUGUAAGAACUUAAAAGGGAAUGUUGUAAAACAAGGUGGAAAAAAUAAAUUUUAUGCAACUUCUUUACUUCCCCCCUGAA
This is a non-coding RNA of Cyanistes caeruleus (blue tit), 2308 nucleotides long. The record is from RefSeq and is a predicted model, not a curated record. Lineage: Eukaryota; Metazoa; Chordata; Aves; Passeriformes; Paridae.